Molecule: long non-coding RNA, 901 nt
Filed under: Melopsittacus undulatus (budgerigar)
Lineage: Eukaryota; Metazoa; Chordata; Aves; Psittaciformes; Psittaculidae
Description: lncRNA (ENSMUNG00000018073.1)
Source: RNAcentral
CUUCUUGUUAUUGAAGAAACAAGUAAGGUUUUCACUGACAUGGUGAGACCUCCUCUUGCAUGUUAUCUUUUCCAGGUAACACAGGAUGCAGAGGGGGACAAGCGAUGCUGUGCUCAGCUGUGGGAGCAGGCACUUCCUGGCAGGCUCCAGGACACACGUGCUCUGGUCAAACCAGGUUAGAAGCAGCAGAAGAUCUGGGAAAACACUUUGGGAGCCCCAUUGCUCCUCACCUGGACACAUCCCACCACUGGCAGGCAUAUGGGGAGCAAUCCGGCUGCCACAGGCCCAGUGAGGACAGCAGCACCCAGCCCAGGAUGGGGGACUGCAGCCUUGGUGCCAUCUGCCCAAGGUCAAGCGCUCCCACGAGCUACCACCACAUUUAGAAGCGCUUCUAACGAACAAGCAUCUUGUUGCCAUCAUUCCUUGUCCUUUCUGGACAUCAGCAACGUUUUUCCUGGCAGCAUCUCCCUGGUGUGACUCCUUUUCUACCUUGACAAGCGUCGCACAGCUCCGCUGGGGGCUGGCAUUCGAAGGAAGAGGGAGGAAGCACGAAGUGUGCAGCCUGCAGAAGCCUGGAGUUCUGCACUUGAACCUGUAGCCCAGCUCCCCCCUCCACCCAGCCCCGUCCCACAUCUGCGCUUCUCUCCAGAGAUCCCCAUUCAAACACCACGCAUGAACAGAACAAGGCUGUGCCCUACAGAACUCCAGACCUCACCAGUUUCGCUUCACUCUGCAUCUUGCUUCCCCUCGGGCUGCCUUUACUUCGAUCUCCAUUUUCACUUUUCACAGAGCACUUCUCAGCCCUGAGCCAAAACCAGGAUUCUUACAGGAUGCCGUUAGGAACUUGGAUGGGAUCUCAUCUUGUGUUCAUAAGGCUCAUGUUCUCAUGUUCUUACCUGGU